This 3653-nucleotide long non-coding RNA is filed under the name Gallus gallus (chicken). Its description in RNAcentral is "lncRNA (ENSGALG00010026609.1)". The record is from RNAcentral. Lineage: Eukaryota; Metazoa; Chordata; Aves; Galliformes; Phasianidae.
CAAGAAUUCAUAAAAUAUCAGCUGAAGAUUGUAAAAUUAAAUGAGUGUUUAUUCAGUAUACUAAAAAAAAAAGGCUUGUGUAGCACUAUCCCCAUCCUUCCUUGACAAAUGUAUGUGAGCUGCUGUCUUGAUCAGACACAGAGCAAAUUCUUGGAAUUGGGCAGCGAUGUUGAGACUUACGUGCCCUUCAAAUCCCUCUGCAAGAACACAGCCAGGACUCAGAGCACAGUCCCAGGUAUUGCUGGGGGCAGCUGAGCUGUUUCUGGACAGCAGGACAUAGCUAAGUACAGCUAAUUCUUUGUAUCCACUUUAGUCAGUGCAGCAAAAGGGGCUGGUUGUGGAAUGAAGAAGCUGCUGCUGAGAACAUCAUUCACGAUGCAUGUAUUUUUGGGGCAUUUGCACAAAGUAGGAGUAGUUUGGGGUCAUGGCUCAGUACUCAUCACUGUUUGGAGCAUAUCUUCCUUCUUAAGUUUUCAUCUAAAAGGUUCCAGUUUGUCAUUACUCUGAAAUGUGAAAAGCACAGUAAAUAGGAACAACCAGAACAACCAAGAGAUCUAUCUCAAAACUCGUUUCUCAUCUACAGAAAAAUGCUAAUAUUGCUGAACUGUCAGCUAAGUCAUACAGCAUUCCUUCCAAUUAUCUUGGAAUAACUGAUUUGUUUGGAAAUAACCUUUUUCUUUUGGGGGAAAAAGAGGCAUGGCAAUUAGCUUCUGAAAUAGUCUCUCAAUCCUUGUAUACUUUUUUUUUUUUUUAGAUCACUAAUGAAAAAUUUAUUUCCCCUCUCUCUGAGCUAGUGCUCUUUUAAUUACCUCAAGCUUUUUUUCAGCAAAGAAUGGAAACUUUUAAUAAAGUCUUUUGAUGGCAGAAGCUGAAACCUUGAGAAGAAGCACUGACUACAGUAAGACUUGUACUGAAGUCUGCAGAGCUUGAUAAUGCUCCAAAUGCAUACCCAAGUGCACAUUUGCACAUGCUCACAAUUGUUGUCCUCCAUGAAAGGCAAGAAUGGAAAUCUUGCAAGAAUAAUACAGAAGACUAAAGUAAUUUUUAUGUUUGAUAUGUUGAAGAACACAAAGGAAGAAGAAAAGACUGGGAAGAAAUUCAAAGAACAAUUCCCUGUGCAAGUAGAAGCACAUGAAAGCUAUUGAACAGCCUGAGAUGAUAAAUAAAUGAAACAGUGAGAAAGUUCAGCUCACUCAGUCUGGCAAGGAAGAAGCUCAGGAGAGAGCUAGGAGCAGCCUGCAGCUGUUGGAAGGGUAGUACAGCUAAAGCAGAGCCAAGCUCUUCUUGGAACUGUCAGAUGAUUGAUAUAACAGAUUAUUAUGUGGGAGACCAGGUUGAUUGUAAUGAAACACCAUGUUCAUGCUGAAAGAGGUUAAAAUUGGAUCAUUUUGGCUAUAAUGGUGGUCAGCUAUCACCUGAGAAGGCUUUGAAAUGUUCACAUUUAAAGCAGGAGGUCAGUCUAGCUGACCACCAGUGGUCCUUUUCAACAACAACUUAAAAGAUGGCAAGAGAAUACAGUUAGCAAAAAUACUGGUAAGCGGAGACAAAUAAUUGACCUGGAAAAUCUGCUGAGAGGUAUCUCUAGUCUAAUGCCAAGUGUCACUGCAUAUUUUUAUUAGCUAAAGUUGCAAUUUAUAGUUAGCAAAUCAGAAUAUGCUUUGAGAAAUAACUUGGCUACUAAACAUGAAUUACUGAUUUUGCUCAACAGAGCCUCCUCUCAGCUGCUGCACUGCCUUGCUUCAGGAAGUCAUAGGACACAUGCACAUAACUUAACAGGUAUUGGUCUUGUAAGAAGGCCAGGAAAUGCAGGGUGGUCCCAGAGGAACUGAUACAGACAACUUAAACUGUGUUUUUUUUUUCAAAUGUGUCACCCAACUCUGUGGAAAUAGAUUGUUAAUUUAAGUGCUUACCUCCAGGGUCAAAUGUGAUUUUCCAGCACAAUGCCAUAAGUCUGAUGCCUGUAUGGCUAUAGCAAUAGUCUCGUCAGAUCGAAUUCUGACACAGAAGAUGGAAUAGAGGAGCUUUUUAAAUACCUCAUCCUAGGUAGAUUUAAGUUAAUCAUCUGUGCAGUUCUGUACUGUCAAGUGGUGAUCUGGGCUAGAGUUCACUAGUUCUAACAUUACAGGCUGCUACUGCUCAACUCAGAGGAAGGAUGAAGAUGACACCUAACUGGAACCAAACUUCUACUGAAGAGAAGAGUUGGCACCACAGGGCAAUUACGAAUGGACACUUUCAUUUGUCACUAUAGACUGGCCAUAUAUAACUCUUCUGAAAUUUUUUUCAAAACUUAACGGUGGUUUUAGGUCAAUGAGUUUUUUGUUUUAAUGGCUAAGUUCUUUUAGGUUUGUUAUUUACUUAUACCUUUUUCGUAUUUAUAAUACUUUCCCAUUUCAAGUCAUGUAAUCUUCCUCCUUUGGUAAUUCAUCUUUGUCUCUGCUGAAUCUUCAUUCUUGUUCUGGCAGUGCAUCUUUUUCUCUGGUAGAGAAUCUUCCUUUUAGUUCUAAAUAGCUCAAAAAAAAAAAAAAAGACUUCAGAGGCAGUUAAAGUGAAAGGUAGUGCUACGAUAAGACUGUACGAGAUACCCUUCUUUAAUUCCUUCUAUUUAAUGCGUUCUGCUAUGUUUCUAAAUUUGGACUCCGUAGUUAUUCCACUUACGCUCCUGUACUGCCACCAGUGCAAUCUAAGCUUCCUUUAUGGCCUAGUAAAUGAUUCAAACCUGCUAUUUAAUGUAUUAAACCAAUCUUUUAAAAGAUCUAAAACAGCUUUAAAACAUAGCUGAUUGUAGCUACUUGAUACUAUCCCUAUAUAAACCAGCAUCAUAUAUAUAUAUGUGUUCAAAAUCUGGAAACUACGCAUCCAGCAACUGGAACAGGGGCAUGGCAGACAAGUGGAAUUUGGACUGUCUUUGGCAAAGCUUAGUAUUAUAUUACUACUGUAGGGCAAUUACUAUUGUUUCAAUUACAACCCAUCAAUUCAUAUACAUUCAAUUGUAUAGUAGUUACAAAUUACACAGCAAGACUUAAAACUUUCUUUCUUUCUUCUUCAGAAAUACGUCUGACAAGUAUAGAAGCACCUACAAACCAAUAAGAAGCUAUAGCCACUCUGCAAAACCUACCAGUGCCUAACAGCUGAAGCCGAUUGGAACACAUAACAAGACAUGCAAUGUGCUGGAACCUGCCUAUAUUCAGCUUCAGCUCAGGAAACAAUUACUGUAUCUACAGCCAUAGGCUUCAAUACGCAAUUGUAAUAGUAAUUACUGUACUUUUAUUAUGAAGCACAGCAGAAGAUUCACUUUGAGGAAGUCAAGAGGUAAAAACCUAAAUGUGAUUUAUACUUGACAUCUGUGCUGUGCUCCUUGAGUAUUACUGGGCUUCAAAGCUUAAUUAAAACCUUGUGUUGUGGCUUUAAGAAAACCUGAAUAAUAAAACUGAGUAAGCUGUUUAAAAAUAGCUGCUUGUAACAGUAAUAUCAGUGCCGAGGGGUUUUGUUUGGGGGUUGUUGUUUUUUUUUGUUUUUGUUUUUUUCUUUUGGACAAUUUUCUACUGAAUUUUAUUGUGGAGAAGGCAGUAGAAAGACUAGAUUGAGAAAGCUGCAGCAUAGGCUCAGUCUCUUAACUCUAUGGGAAAGAGAUGUCUGCAGCAAGAUAGUUGUGU